GAAACGGAUUAAUAUUUCCGUACCUUGGAUAGCUGCGAUGGAGAGACGGAGAAGGCUAGGUGAGCCGGGCGACGGUUGUCCCGGUUUAAGCAUGUAGGCAGUGGGAUUAGGCAAAUCCGGUCCCACAAUGCCGAGACGCGACGACGACUGCCCUUUUAGGGCGGGAAGUCAUUGAUGCCCUGCUUCCAGGAAAAUCUUCUAAGCUUCAGGCUAUUCGAGACCGUACCCCAAACCGACACAGGUGGUCAGGUAGAGAAUACCAAGGCGCUUGAGAGAACUCGGGUAAAGG
RNAcentral lists this ribosomal RNA (289 nucleotides) under Nephroselmis pyriformis. RNAcentral's name for it is "partial Bacterial large subunit ribosomal RNA". It matches the Rfam family "Bacterial large subunit ribosomal RNA", at positions 1422 to 1710 of the family's 2925-position model. Lineage: Eukaryota; Viridiplantae; Chlorophyta; Nephroselmidophyceae; Nephroselmidales; Nephroselmidaceae. The record is from RNAcentral.